ACAAAUUAGAGUGCUUAAAGCAGGCAAGCCCGCCUGAAUAUUGUGUGCAUGGAAUAAUGGAAUAGGACCUCGGUUCUAUUUUGUUGGUUUUCGGAACCCGAGGUAAUGAUUAAUAGGGACUGGCGGGGGCAUUCGUAUUGCGACGUUAGGGGUGAAAUUCUUGGAUCGUCGCAAGACGAACAGAAGCGAAAGCAUUUGCCAAGUAUGUUUUCAUUAAUCAAGAACGAAAGUUAGAGGUUCGAAGGCGAUCAGAUACCGCCCUAGUUCUAACCAUAAACGAUGCCAGCCAGCGAUCCGUCGAGUUCCUCCGAUGACUCGGCGGGCAGCCACCGGGAAGCCAAAGCUUUUGGGUUCCGGGGGAAGUAUGGUUGCAAAGCUGAAACUUAAAGGAAUUGACGGAAGGGUACCACAAGGAGUGGAGUCUGCGGCUUAAUUUGACUCAACACGGGAAAACUCACCAGGCCCGGACACCCGAAGGAUUGACAGAUUGAUAGCUCUUUCUUGAUUGGGUGCGUGGUGGUGCAUGGCCGUUCUUAGUUCGUGGAGCGAU
This 550-nucleotide ribosomal RNA is filed under the name Tanna japonensis. Its description in RNAcentral is "SSU rRNA". It matches the Rfam family "Eukaryotic small subunit ribosomal RNA", at positions 761 to 1310 of the family's 1831-position model. The record is from RNAcentral. Lineage: Eukaryota; Metazoa; Arthropoda; Insecta; Hemiptera; Cicadidae.